Molecule: transfer RNA, 62 nt
Filed under: Phalangium opilio (common harvesterman)
Lineage: Eukaryota; Metazoa; Arthropoda; Arachnida; Opiliones; Phalangiidae
Description: tRNA-Gly
Source: RNAcentral
AUUUAUUUAGUAUAAAAAGUACAUUUAGCUUCCAACUAAAAAGUUUUAUUUAAAAAUAAAUA